AUACGGAGGGUGCAAGCGUUAUUCGGAAUCACUGGGCGUAAAGGGUGCGUAGGCGGUUUGAUAAGUCUGAUGUGAAAUCCUAUGGCUCAACCAUAGAACUGCAUUGGAAACUGUCAGACUAGAAUACUGAAGGGGCAGAUGGAAUUAGUGGUGUAGGGGUAAAGUCCGUAGAUAUCACUAGGAAUACCGAAAGCGAAGGCGAUCUGCUGGGAAGUUAUUGACGCUGAGGCACGAAAGCGUGGGGAGCAAACGGGAUUAGAAACCCUAGUAGUCC
RNAcentral lists this ribosomal RNA (274 nucleotides) under uncultured bacterium. RNAcentral describes it as "partial 16S ribosomal RNA". It matches the Rfam family "Bacterial small subunit ribosomal RNA", at positions 523 to 796 of the family's 1533-position model. The record is from RNAcentral.